UUAAUGUUGAUCAAGGUAUGAUGACUUGAGCUUGUUUUGCAAUUGCAACCAUGCAUUUUCUCGAGUCUUGAACACCAUGACAAGUUACAAUACCAUGGAAGUUAUAACAUCUUCAGUUCUUGAAUGAAAAUAUCAUCAGCAGAACUUUAGUACUGCAAAAACUUGUGAAAAAAGUCAAGCUUCCGGCCAACAUAUUUGCAUUAAAGUGAAGUAGUUUAAUGACUAGCUAGUGAUCCUCUUGAACUUAGAAAAGAUCCUUAGAAUUGAAUAUUUCAACUAAGGCAACAGUAGGCUUUCAUUACGACCAUGACACAUUUACCCACAUACUCUUCCAGUCAACAUCUUAAUCAUUCAUGAUCAAUUAUUUCAGCUACCAAAAAUUUUCAAUAAUGUCAUACUAGCAUGUAUUCUGGAAUUUGGAGACGACCAACAAUUGAAUUUGAGAAUGAAUGAAUUUAAUGCACUUUUCUUGGUACAUGUACCUUCUCACGCGACAUCAGCUAGUGAACGGGUUACAAUUUAUGUUAAAGGAGGUCAAAAUUACAUGUAAGGUGUGGUGAAAUUUUGCAGGAACACUGAAAGGGAAACUUGGAAAGGCAGCAUAUUUGGAAAAUUGGAUCACUACAAACACUUUUCUAGCAGCUGGUGAAACGGCAGCUGAUAUCACAUUUGAUUGGGAUGAGGACCAAGGAAUUCCAGGAGCUUUUAUCAUCAAAAAUAAUCAUCCAACUCAAUUCUACCUUAAGACAUUGACACUUGAAGAAGUUCCUGGACAUGGCCGAGUUCACUUUGUCUGCAAUUCUUGGGUUUAUCCAGCUGGAAAGUACAAAAAAGAUCGCGUAUUCUUCUCAAAUCAGGUAACUACUUGCAAAC
This 873-nucleotide long non-coding RNA is filed under the name Coffea arabica (coffee). RNAcentral describes it as "long non-coding RNA (CARA_LNC001989)". The record is from RNAcentral. Lineage: Eukaryota; Viridiplantae; Streptophyta; Magnoliopsida; Gentianales; Rubiaceae.